Molecule: transfer RNA, 89 nt
Filed under: Corynebacterium resistens DSM 45100
Lineage: Bacteria; Bacillati; Actinomycetota; Actinomycetes; Mycobacteriales; Corynebacteriaceae
Description: tRNA-Ser (CGA) (tRNA-Ser-CGA-1-1)
Rfam family: tRNA
About the family: Transfer RNA (tRNA) molecules are approximately 80 nucleotides in length.
Source: RNAcentral
GGUGGCGUGUCCGAGUGGCCGAAGGUGCUCGCCUCGAAAGCGAGUGUUGUUAAUAGCAACCGGGGGUUCAAAUCCCCCCGCCACCGCCA